UGGGGAAUUGUUCACAAUGGGCGCAAGCCUGAUGACGCAACGCCGCGUGGGGGAUGAGGGUCUUCGGAUUGUAAACCCCUGUCGAAUGGGACGAAAGACUCGCGAGUUAAUACUUCGCGGGAGUGACGGUACCGUUAAAGGAAGCCACGGCUAACUCUGUGCCAGCAGCCGCGGUAAUACAGAGGUGGCAAGCGUUGUUCGGAAUUACUGGGCGUAAAGGGCGCGUAGGCGGCCUACUAAGUCAGACGUGAAAUCCCCCGGCUUAACCUGGGAACUGCGUCUGAUACUGGCUGUCUAGAGUUCGAGAGAGGUGAGUGGAAUUCCUAGUGUAGAGGUGAAAUUCGUAGAUAUUAGGAAGAACACCGGUGGCGAAGGCGGCUCACUGGCUCGAUACUGACACUGAGGUGCGAAAGCGUGGGGAGCAAACAGGAUUAGAUACCCCCGUAGUCCCUGAGCGGGCUGGCAAGGCGCAU
This 473-nucleotide ribosomal RNA is filed under the name uncultured bacterium. RNAcentral describes it as "bacterial SSU rRNA". It matches the Rfam family "Bacterial small subunit ribosomal RNA", at positions 355 to 825 of the family's 1533-position model. The record is from RNAcentral.